AGCACGGACUUCGGUCUGGUGGCGAGUGGCGAACGGGUGAGUAAUACAUCGGAACGUACCCAGUAAUGGGGGAUAACUAUCCGAAAGGAUAGCUAAUACCGCAUACGCCCUACGGGGGAAAGAGGGGGAUCGCAAGACCUCUUGUUAUUGGAGCGGCCGAUGGCUGAUUAGCUAGUUGGUGGGGUAAAGGCUCACCAAGGCGACGAUCAGUAGCGGGUCUUAGAGGACGAUCCGCCACACUGGAACUGAGACACGGCCCAGACUCCUACGGGAGGCAGCAGUGGGGAAUAUUGCGCAAUGGGCGAAAGCCUGACGCAGCAAUGCCGCGUGGGUGAAGAAGGCCUUCGGGUUGUAAAGCCCUUUUAGUGGGGACGAUGGUGACGGUACCCACAGAAAAAGCCACGGCUAACUCCGUGCCAGCAGCCGCGGUAAUACGGAGGUGGCAAGCGUUGUUCGGAAUCACUGGGCGUAAAGCGCGCGUAGGCGGUUAAUCAAGUCAGGAGUGAAAUCCUCGGGCUCAACUCGGGAACUGCUCUUGAAACUGGUUGACUAGAGUUCGGCAGAGGAUGGCGGAAUUCCCCGUGUAGAGGUGAAAUUCGUAGAUAUGGGGAGGAACACCAGAGGCGAAGGCGGCCAUCUGGACCGAUACUGACGCUGAGGCGCGAAAGCGUGGGGAGCGAACAGGAUUAGAUACCCUGGUAGUCCACGCUGUAAACGAUGAGUGCUGGUUGUCGCGGGUAUCGACCCCUGCGGUAACGAAGCAAACGCGUUAAGCACUCCGCCUGGGGAGUACGGCCGCAAGGCUAAAA
Molecule: ribosomal RNA, 809 nt
Filed under: uncultured Magnetococcus sp.
Lineage: Bacteria; Pseudomonadati; Pseudomonadota; Magnetococcia; Magnetococcales; Magnetococcaceae
Description: bacterial SSU rRNA
Rfam family: Bacterial small subunit ribosomal RNA
Source: RNAcentral